UGGGGGAAUAUUUGCACAAUGGGCGCAAGCCUGAUGCAGCCAUGCCGCGUGUGUGAAGAAGGCCUUCGGGUUGUAAAGCACUUUCAGCGAGGAGGNAAGGUGGUGAACUUAAUACGUUCAUCAAUUGACGUUACUCGCAGAAGAAGCACCGGCUAACUCCGUGCCAGCAGCCGCGGUAAUACGGAGGGUGCAAGCGUUAAUCGGAAUUACUGGGCGUAAAGCGCACGCAGGCGGUUUGUUAAGUCAGAUGUGAAAUCCCCGGGCUCAACCUGGGAACUGCAUUUGAAACUGGCAAGCUAGAGUCUCGUAGAGGGGGGUAGAAUUCCAGUGUAGCGGUGAAAUGCGUAGCAGAUCUGGAGGAAAUACCGGUGGCGAAGGCGGCCCCCUGGACGAAGACUGACGCUCAGGUGCGAAAAGCGUGGGGGAGCAAAACAGGAUUAGAUACCCUGGUAGUCCACGCUGUAAACGAUGUCGAUUUUGGGAGGUUGUGCCCUUGAGGCGUGGCUUCCGGAGCUAACGCGUUAAAUCGACCGCCU
Molecule: ribosomal RNA, 536 nt
Filed under: uncultured bacterium
Lineage: Bacteria
Description: partial 16S ribosomal RNA
Rfam family: Bacterial small subunit ribosomal RNA
Source: RNAcentral